UGCAGUCGAGCGGACAGAUGGGAGCUUGCUCCCUGAUGUUAGCGGCGGACGGGUGAGUAACACGUGGGUAACCUGCCUGUAAGACUGGGAUAACUCCGGGAAACCGGGGCUAAUACCGGAUGCUUGAUUGAACCGCAUGGUUCAAUUAUAAAAGGUGGCUUUUAGCUACCACUUACAGAUGGACCCGCGGCGCAUUAGCUAGUUGGUGAGGUAACGGCUCACCAAGGCAACGAUGCGUAGCCGACCUGAGAGGGUGAUCGGCCACACUGGGACUGAGACACGGCCCAAACUCCUACGGGAGGCAGCAGUAGGGAAUCUUCCGCAAUGGACGAAAGUCUGACGGAGCAACGCCGCGUGAGUGAUGAAGGUUUUCGGAUCGUAAAACUCUGUUGUUAGGGAAGAACAAGUACCGUUCGAAUAGGGCGGUACCUUGACGGUACCUAACCAGAAAGCCACGGCUAACUACGUGCCAGCAGCCGCGGUAAUACGUAGGUGGCAAGCGUUGUCCGGAAUUAUUGGGCGUAAAGCGCGCGCAGGCGGUUUCUUAAGUCUGAUGUGAAAGCCCCCGGCUCAACCGGGGAGGGUCAUUGGAAACUGGGGAACUUGAGUGCANAAAAGGAGAGUGGAAUUCCACGUGUAGCGGUGAAAUGCGUANAGAUGUGNAGGAACACCAGUGGCGAAGGCGACUCUCUGGUCUGUAACUGACGCUGAGGCGCGAAAGCGUGGGGAGCGAACAGGAUUAGAUACCCUGGUAGUCCACGCCGUAAACGAUGAGUGCUAAGUGUUAGAGGGUUUCCGCCCUUUAGUGCUGCAGCAAACGCAUUAAGCACUCCGCCUGGGGAGUACGGUCGCANGACUGAAACUCAAGGAAUUGACGGGGGCCCGCACAAGCGGUNNNCAUGNNGUUUANNCNANCACGCGANANNUUACCAGGUCUGACNUCNNUGANACCNUAGAGAUAGGC
This 964-nucleotide ribosomal RNA is filed under the name Bacillus licheniformis. RNAcentral describes it as "partial 16S ribosomal RNA". It matches the Rfam family "Bacterial small subunit ribosomal RNA", at positions 56 to 1011 of the family's 1533-position model. The record is from RNAcentral. Lineage: Bacteria; Bacillati; Bacillota; Bacilli; Caryophanales; Bacillaceae.